Long non-coding RNA from Rhipicephalus microplus (southern cattle tick), 372 nucleotides. Lineage: Eukaryota; Metazoa; Arthropoda; Arachnida; Ixodida; Ixodidae. The record is from RefSeq and is a predicted model, not a curated record.
GAUUAUACAGACGUACGAGUGCAUUUACAACUACGAAGAAAACAAAGAAGAGGUGUUGAAGGCGUUCGCUGCAAGGAGCAAAGAGAACUACCUAGAAAUCGCUAACAAGGUUGAGGCAUGCUUUGGAACCUGGCAUGCGACCAAGAACAAGGUUCAUCCUAGGUUUAGCAGACGUCGUGAUCCUGCUGUAGGUCACCCGGAGGGAGCUUUUAUGGCACAGUAACAGCUCACUGGUUCCGCUCUAGACGCCAUUGACGCCCUCAUUACUCAAGUGACAAACCUGCGCCAACACGGAGCCACUGGACAUAUCUCCUGGCAUGUUGAAAACACGGAGACAAGCGAAUAUAGUGCAGAAUAAAUGGGGCAUGUCGU